This 433-nucleotide ribosomal RNA is filed under the name uncultured bacterium. RNAcentral's name for it is "partial 16S ribosomal RNA". It matches the Rfam family "Bacterial small subunit ribosomal RNA", at positions 29 to 507 of the family's 1533-position model. The record is from RNAcentral.
AGCGAACGCUGGCGGCAGGCUUAACACAUGCAAGUCGAGCGGGCACUUCGGUGUCAGCGGCAGACGGGUGAGUAAUACGUGGGAACGUACCCUUUGGUUCGGAAUAACGCUGGGAAACUAGCGCUAAUACCGGAUACGCCCUUUUGGGGAAAGGCUUGCUGCCGAAGGAUCGGCCCGCGUCUGAUUAGCUAGUUGGUGGGGUAAUGGCCUACCAAGGCGACGAUCAGUAGCUGGUCUGAGAGGAUGAUCAGCCACACUGGGACUGAGACACGGCCCAGACUCCUACGGGAGGCAGCAGUGGGGAAUAUUGGACAAUGGGCGCAAGCCUGAUCCAGCCAUGCCGCGUGAGUGAUGAAGGCCUUAGGGUUGUAAAGCUCUUUUGUCCGGGACGAUAAUGACGGUACCGGAAGAAUAAGCCCCGGCUAACUUCGUG